This 400-nucleotide ribosomal RNA is filed under the name uncultured bacterium. Its description in RNAcentral is "bacterial SSU rRNA". It matches the Rfam family "Bacterial small subunit ribosomal RNA", at positions 29 to 417 of the family's 1533-position model. The record is from RNAcentral.
AGCGAACGCUGGCGGCGUGCCUAACACAUGCAAGUCGAACGUGAAAGGGAGCAAUCCUGAGUAAAGUGGCGUACGGGUGAGUAACGCGUAGGUAAUCUACCCCAGAGUCUGGAAUAACCUGCCGAAAGGCGGGCUAAUACUGGAUAGAGCGACGGAAUCCGUAAUUGGGUUUUCGGGAAAGGGAGGAAGCAAUUCCCUUCGCUCUGGGAUGAGCCUGCGUCUCAUUAGCUAGUUGGUGGGUAAAGGCCCACCAAGGCAUUGAUGAGUAGCUGGUCUGAGAGGAUGAUCAGCCACACUGGAACUGAAACACGGUCCAGACUCCUACGGGAGGCAGCAGUGGGGAAUCUUGCGCAAUGGACGAAAGUCUGACGCAGCCACGCCGCGUGAGUGAAGAAGGCCU